CUUUUAAGUGGCCAAGAGAGAAGAAAGCUUCCUUGAUAUCUUCUUUUUGUAAUGGGAGCAUCCAUUAGGGGAAGCAAGUACUCACUACAAUUGUCUUGAAGACAACGCAGGUGAUUGAUAACAGCUUCCUUAAUUCCCUCUUUAUUUUUAAUAGCAUUCCCAUAGCUAUCUUUUAAGAACCAAAUUCUAUUACUAACUCUUCUCUUGAAUGGUUCCAGCUUCUUGCUGCCAAUUCCUUUUUAAUCAUCUUUCCCUUCUAAGGCCUGGGUUUUUUAUUCUAACAACAUACUCACUCCGUUUACUUGAAAAGCUGGCAUGCCCUUAACAUUCUUCUCCCAUUUUGAUUUCAACUUUUGUUUUACUUUACAUCUACUAUUAUAUGUUUCAAAUUUCAAGCAAGUCACUGAACACUGCACAAUCCUUGAGGUUGUCACAACUGAUUAAAAUCUCCCA
This 453-nucleotide long non-coding RNA is filed under the name Gossypium raimondii (Peruvian cotton). RNAcentral's name for it is "long non-coding RNA (GRAI_LNC006715)". The record is from RNAcentral. Lineage: Eukaryota; Viridiplantae; Streptophyta; Magnoliopsida; Malvales; Malvaceae.